GAUGAACGCUGGCGGCGUGCCUAAUACAUGCAAGUCGAGCGAACGGACGAGAAGCUUGCUCCUCUGACGUUAGCGGCGGACGGGUGAGUAACACGUGGAUAACCUACCUAUAAGACUGGGAUAACUUCGGGAAACCGGAGCUAAUACCGGAUAAUAUUUUGAACCGCAUGGUUCAAAAGUGAAAGACGGUCUUGCUGUCACUUAUAGAUGGAUCCGCGCUGCAUUAGCUAGUUGGUAAGGUAACGGCUUACCAAGGCAACGAUGCAUAGCCGACCUGAGAGGGUGAUCGGCCACACUGGAACUGAGACACGGUCCAGACUCCUACGGGAGGCAGCAGUAGGGAAUCUUCCGCAAUGGGCGAAAGCCUGACGGAGCAACGCCGCGUGAGUGAUGAAGGUCUUCGGAUCGUAAAACUCUGUUAUUAGGGAAGAACAUAUGUGUAAGUAACUAUGCACGUCUUGACGGUACCUAAUUAGAAAGCCACGGCUAACUACGUG
Molecule: ribosomal RNA, 497 nt
Filed under: uncultured bacterium
Lineage: Bacteria
Description: partial 16S ribosomal RNA
Rfam family: Bacterial small subunit ribosomal RNA
Source: RNAcentral